This 338-nucleotide ribosomal RNA is filed under the name uncultured bacterium. RNAcentral describes it as "bacterial SSU rRNA". It matches the Rfam family "Bacterial small subunit ribosomal RNA", at positions 338 to 668 of the family's 1533-position model. The record is from RNAcentral.
CCUACGGGAGGCAGCAGUGGGGAAUUUUGGACAAUGGGCGCAAGCCUGAUCCAGCAAUGCCGCGUGAGUGAAGAAGGCCUUCGGGUUGUAAAGCUCUUUUGUCAGGGAAGAAACGGUGGGGGCUAAUAUCUCCUACUAAUGACGGUACCUGAAGAAUAAGCACCGGCUAACUACGUGCCAGCAGCCGCGGUAAUACGUAGGGUGCAAGCGUUAAUCGGAAUUACUGGGCGUAAAGCGUGCGCAGGCGGUUUUGUAAGUCUGUCGUGAAAGCCCCGGGCUCAACCUGGGAAUUGCGAUGGAGACUGCAAGGCUUGAAUCUGGCANAGGGGGGUUANAUC